AUUGAACGCUGGCGGCAGGCCUAAUACAUGCAAGUCGAGCGGAUGAAGGGAGCUUGCUCCUCGAUUCAGCUGCGGACGGGUGAGUAAUGCCUAGGAAUCUGCCCGGUCGUGGGGGAUAACGUACGUUAACGGGCCCUAAUACCGCACACGUCCUUAGGGAGAAAGUGAUGGUUCUUCGGACCUCACGCUAUCAGAUGAGCCUAGGUCGUAUUAGCUAGUCGGUGGGGUAAAGGCCUACCAAGGCGACGAUCCGUAACUGGACUGGGAGGAUGAUCAGUCACACUUGAACUGAGACAAGGUCCCGGCUCCUAAGGGAGGCAGGCGUGGGGAAUAUUGGACAAUGGGGGAAAGGCUGAUCGAGCCAUGCCGGGUGGAGGAAGAAGGUCUUCGGAUUGUAAAACACUUUUAAUUGGGGGGAAAGAAAGUAAGAUGAUACCUUGCUGUUUUGACGGUACCAACAGAAUAAGCCCCGGCUAACCUCGUG
This 484-nucleotide ribosomal RNA is filed under the name uncultured bacterium. RNAcentral describes it as "partial 16S ribosomal RNA". It matches the Rfam family "Bacterial small subunit ribosomal RNA", at positions 30 to 507 of the family's 1533-position model. The record is from RNAcentral.